RNAcentral lists this unclassified non-coding RNA (240 nucleotides) under soil metagenome. RNAcentral's name for it is "partial contains 5.8S ribosomal RNA, internal transcribed spacer 2, and large subunit ribosomal RNA". The record is from RNAcentral.
AACAUCGCGCACCUGCGGGAACCUGCGGAAGGAUCAUUACAGAGUUGCAAAACUCCCUAAACCAUUGUGAACGUUACCUAAACCGUUGCUUCGGCGGGCGGCCCGGGUCCUUCCCGGCGCCCAUCGGCCCUCGCGGGCGCCCGCCGGAGGUAAACCAAACUAUUGCAUUGUAUGGCCUCUCUGAGUCUUCUGUACCGAAUAAGUCAAAACUUUUAACAACGGAUCUCAGAUCGGAAGAGC